RNAcentral lists this ribosomal RNA (279 nucleotides) under uncultured Staphylococcus sp. Its description in RNAcentral is "partial 16S ribosomal RNA". It matches the Rfam family "Bacterial small subunit ribosomal RNA", at positions 82 to 355 of the family's 1533-position model. The record is from RNAcentral. Lineage: Bacteria; Bacillati; Bacillota; Bacilli; Caryophanales; Staphylococcaceae.
UCCUUUGACGUUAGCGGCGGACGGGUGAGUAACACGUGGGUAACCUACCUAUAAGACUGGGAUAACUUCGGGAAACCGGAGCUAAUACCGGAUAAUAUUUCGAACCGCAUGGUUCGAUAGUGAAAGGUGGUUUUGCUAUCACUUAUAGAUGGACCCGCGCCGUAUUAGCUAGUUGGUAAGGUAACGGCUUACCAAGGCGACGAUACGUAGCCGACCUGAGAGGGUGAUCGGCCACACUGGAACUGAGACACGGUCCAGACUCCUACGGGAGGCAGCAGC